GACGAACGCUGGCGGCGUGCUUAACACAUGCAAGUCGAACGGAAAGGCCCUGCUUUUGUGGGGUGCUCGAGUGGCGAACGGGUGAGUAACACGUGAGUAACCUGCCCUUGACUUUGGGAUAACUUCAGGAAACUGGGACUAAUACCGGAUAGGAGCUCCUGCUGCAUGGUGGGGGUUGGAAAGUUUCGGCGGUUGGGGAUGGACUCGCGGCUUAUCAGCUUGUUGGUGGGGUAGUGGCUUACCAAGGCUUUGACGGGUAGCCGGCCUGAGAGGGUGACCGGCCACAUUGGGACUGAGAUACGGCCCAGACUCCUACGGGAGGCAGCAGUGGGGAAUAUUGCACAAUGGGCGGAAGCCUGAUGCAGCAACGCCGCGUGCGGGAUGACGGCCUUCGGGUUGUAAACCGCUUUCGCCUGUGACGAAGCGUGAGUGACGGUAAUGGGUAAAGAAGCACCGGCUAACUACGUGCCAGCAGCCGCGGUGAUACGUAGGGUGCGAGCGUUGUCCGGAUUUAUUGGGCGUAAAGGGCUCGUAGGUGGUUGAUCGCGUCGGAAGUGUAAUCUUGGGGCUUAACCCUGAGCGUGCUUUCGAUACGGGUUGACUUGAGGAAGGUAGGGGAGAAUGGAAUUCCUGGUGGAGCGGUGGAAUGCGCAGAUAUCAGGAGGAACACCAGUGGCGAAGGCGGUUCUCUGGGCCUUUCCUGACGCUGAGGAGCGAAAGCGUGGGGAGCGAACAGGCUUAGAUACCCUGGUAGUCCACGCUGUAAACGGUGGGUACUAGGUGUGGGGUCCAUUCCACGGGUUCCGUGCCGUAGCUAACGCUUUAAGUACCCCGCCUGGGGAGUACGGCCGCAAGGCUAAAACUCAAAGGAAUUGACAGGGCCCCGCACAAGCGGCGGAGCAUGCGGAUUAAUUCGAUGCAACGCGUAGAACCUUACCUGGGUUUGACAUGGAUCGGGAGUGCUCAGAGAUGGGUGUGCCUCUUUUGGGGUCGGUUCACAGGUGGUGCAUGGCUGUCGUCAACUCGUGUCGUGAGAUGUUGGGUUAAGUCCCGCAACGAGCGCAACCCUUGUUCACUGUUGCCAGCACGUUAUGGUGGGGACUCAGUGGAGACCGCCGGGGUCAACUCGGAGGAAGGUGGGGAUGACGUCAAGUCAUCAUGCCCCUUAUGUCCAGGGCUUCACGCAUGCUACAAUGGCUGGUACAGAGAGUGGCGAGCCUGUGAGGGUGAGCGAAUCUCGGAAAGCCGGUCUCAGUUCGGAUUGGGGUCUGCAACUCGACCUCAUGAAGUCGGAGUCGCUAGUAAUCGCAGAUCAGCAACGCUGCGGUGAAUACGUUCCCGGGGCU
This 1346-nucleotide ribosomal RNA is filed under the name uncultured bacterium. RNAcentral's name for it is "partial 16S ribosomal RNA". It matches the Rfam family "Bacterial small subunit ribosomal RNA", at positions 28 to 1381 of the family's 1533-position model. The record is from RNAcentral.